GAAUUCACAAUGGGCGCAACCUGAUGCAGCAACGCCGCGUGAGGGAUGACGGCCUUCGGGUUGUAAACCUCUUUUGGUAGGGAAGAAGCCUUCGGGUGACGGUACCUGCAGAAAAAGCGCCGGCUAACUACGUGCCAGCAGCCGCGGGAAUACGUAGGGCGCAAGCGUUAUCCGGAAUUAUUGGGCGUAAAGAGCUCGUAGGCGGUCUGUCGCGUCUGCUGUGAAAUCUCGAGGCUCAACCUCGGGCUUGCAGUGGGUACGGGCAGACUAGAGUGCGGAAGGGGAGAUUGGAAUUCCCGGUGUAGAGGUGAAAUGCCCAGACAUCACUAUGAACACCGAUGGCGAAAGCAGAUCUCUGGGCCGCUACUGACUCUGAGGAGUGAAAGGCUGGGGAGCAAACAGGCUUAUUUACCCUGGUAGUCACCCCGGAAAACUUUGCCAACCAGUUGAGGGGUCCUUUCACAGAUUCCGUGACCUCCUAACGCAUUAAGUUCCCCGCCUGGGGAGUAUGGGCGCUAUGCUCCAACUC
Molecule: ribosomal RNA, 529 nt
Filed under: uncultured Microbacterium sp.
Lineage: Bacteria; Bacillati; Actinomycetota; Actinomycetes; Micrococcales; Microbacteriaceae
Description: bacterial SSU rRNA
Rfam family: Bacterial small subunit ribosomal RNA
Source: RNAcentral